Molecule: ribosomal RNA, 301 nt
Filed under: uncultured bacterium
Lineage: Bacteria
Description: partial 16S ribosomal RNA
Rfam family: Bacterial small subunit ribosomal RNA
Source: RNAcentral
CAGCAGCCGCGGUAACACGUAGGUGGCAAGCGUUGUCCGGAUUUAUUGGGCGUAAAGCGAGCGCAGGCGGUCAAUUAAGUCUGAUGUGAAAGCCCCCGGCUCAACCGGGGAGGGUCAUUGGAAACUGGUUGACUUGAGUGCAGAAGAGGAGAGUGGAAUUCCAUGUGUAGCGGUGAAAUGCGUAGAUAUAUGGAGGAACACCAGUGGCGAAGGCGACUCUCUGGUCUGUAACUGACGCUGAGGCUCGAAAGCGUGGGUAGCAAACAGGAUUAGAUACCCGGGUAGUCCCUGUCUCUUAUAC